UUCUACGGCCGUACCACCCUGAACGCACCUGCUCUCGUCUGAUCUCGGAAGAUCAGGCUGUAGGCACACCUGUAGGGC
RNAcentral lists this ribosomal RNA (78 nucleotides) under Mesocricetus auratus (golden hamster). The record is from RNAcentral. Lineage: Eukaryota; Metazoa; Chordata; Mammalia; Rodentia; Cricetidae.